RNAcentral lists this ribosomal RNA (1007 nucleotides) under uncultured archaeon. RNAcentral describes it as "bacterial SSU rRNA". It matches the Rfam family "Archaeal small subunit ribosomal RNA", at positions 23 to 1038 of the family's 1478-position model. The record is from RNAcentral.
GUCACUGCUAUCGGGGUUCGAUUAAGCCAUGCGAGUCGAGAGGGUUCGGCCCUCGGCGUACUGCUCAGUAACACGUGGAUAACCUGCCCUAGGGAAUGGGAUAACCCCGGGAAACUGGGGAUAAUACCCUAUAGAUUACAGAUGCUGGAAUGCCCUGUAAUCCAAAGUUCCGACGCCCUAGGAUGGAUCUGCGGCCGAUUAGGUUGUUGUUGGGGUAAUGGCCCAACAAGCCCGUAAUCGGUACGGGUUGUGGGAGCAAGAGCCCGGAGUUGGAUUCUGAAACACGAAUCCAGGCCCUACGGGGCGCAGCAGGCGCGAAAACUUUACAAUGCGGGCAACCGUGAUAAGGGAACCUCGAGUGCCUGUAAAUGCAGGCUGUUCAGGUGCCUAAAACACACCUGAAGAAAGGGCCGGGCAAGACCGGUGCCAGCCGCCGCGGUAAUACCGGCGGCUCGAGUGGUGGCCGCUUUUAUUGGGCUUAAAGCGUUCGUAGCUGGGUUGUUAAGUCUCUUGGGAAAUCUGGCGGCUUAACCGUCAGGCGUCUAAGGGAUACUGGCAAUCUUGGAACCGGGAGAGGUGAGGGGUACUUCGGGGGUAGGAGUGAAAUCCUGUAAUCCUCGAGGGACCACCUGUGGCGAAGGCGCCUCACCAGAACGGCUUCGACAGUGAGGGACGAAAGCUGGGGGAGCAAACCGGAUUAGAUACCCGGGUAGUCCCAGCCGUAAACUAUGCGCGUUAGGUGUAUCGGUGACCACGAGUUACCGAGGUGCCGAAGGGAAACCGUGAAACGUGCCGCCUGGGAAGUACGGUCGCAAGGCUGAAACUUAAAGGAAUUGGCGGGGGAGCACCACAACAGGUGGAGCCUGCGGUUUAAUUGGACUCAACGCCGGGAAGCUCACCGGAUAAGACAGCAGAAUGAUUGCCGGGCUGAAGACUCUGCAUGACUAGCUGAGAGGAGGUGCAUGGCCGUCGUCAGUUCGUACUGUGAAGCAUCCUGUUAAGUCAGG